UUGUUUUUCCCCUCAUGAUCAAUAAUAGAGUAUUUCACAAUGAGAGUGUAGUAUUAUACUAACAUAACAUUAAUUCACACCUUGUUCCAAGGCUCGCUCUCGGACCAUAAUAUUCAUGAACGCCGGUUUCUAUCGGAGGUAAAUAAAAGAUGACCCACGCUACUUCCUGUUUUGAUAACAAAAAAAAACGGUCAUUUCGUCUUUAGCUAUGGAUAGACAUAACGAGCUAUCAUGGAACGCCAUCUCUUUACUAACAGGUAGACUGUUAAAAUCAAGACUCAUAACUAUCAACAGUGCAUUGUGCUUUUGGGGUUGAAAUAACGUUACACCUGUGGUUCCCAACUGUUGUUGUGGGGAGAUGGCACUGAGCGCGAGCGGUUGGGCUCCAACGCCUGUGCCAGCCACAUUCCAGUCUGUACAUGGUGGGCCCGCACUGGCUAGCUGCAACACGGUUUUGAUGUCGGUGCGAGUGUCGGUUUGCCAUUCUGGAAUUCGACCGCUUUGCCUCCCCGGAGCUGUCGAUGAGGUUCUCCAUCUUCAGCUUAGUAUGGACCCCAGCAAAGCUGGAGAGUUUCGGCUAGCACUGAGGGACAGUAGCGGAAGCGGCCGUAGUGUGUUCAUUGCAGAGUUUGACUUGCGCUCAGUGCAGUAUGAGGUGAAGUCUCCACGCCUUCACGAGAUUUAUUUGGCAACGCCCCCUCACGACUGCAUCUGCUUCAACUUCUGCUGCGAUCUGGAGGCUGAGCAGUGGGCCACAGUGGUGAUGUCAUCCCUAAGAGAGGCACACAGAGUUGCUGCAAAUAGUUCCCCACAUCCUCUGGAUGACCGACAGAAGCACACUGCAGCAGUAGCUCUAGAACAGUGCAGCACAGCCUCCUUACCACUCACUGAGGAGCUGCGCCUGGAGCUUGCCCGGGCGAUCGAAGCAGGCGACAGCCAGGCUGCUGCUCAACAUGCAUCUGCUCUGGCUCACCAGAAGGUGGCGCUCACCAUCCAACUGUCUGAGAAGAGUUACGCAGAAGGAGAGAUACGUUUGGCUGUGGCAGUGGAGGACAUUUCCUCUUCCUGUUGCGUCACAGUGAAAGUUUUCCCACACAUGACCGUCACAGCACUCAAGCAGCAGGUGUUUCUGGAGUAUGGCUUCCACCCUCUCGUGCAGCGCUGGGUGAUAGGGCAGUGUUUGUGCACAGAGCCCAGGUCCCUGGCCUCGUAUGGAGUCCAGAGGGAUGGGGACAUGGCCUACCUCUACCUGAUCUCAGCCUGCCAUGCCCGCCUCACCCGCCAGCUGUUCCAGCAGGACCAGGAGGGCAUCCUCCUCACCCCACCUCUGCCUACCAGCAACGGGUCUACGUCCCAGGACUGGAGGGGCUACACCCUGCCCUCCAGGCUCAGCCACAACUCCCAGGCAAACACAACGCAAGAGUGGCUUUCGGACAAGUCUGAGUGUCCUUGAGUGGCCUAGCCAGAGCCCGGACUUGAACUUGAUCGAACAUCUCUGGAGAGACCUGAAAAUGCAGUGGCUUGCGAAAGUAUUCACCCCCCUUAGCAUGUUUCAUGUUUUGUUGCCUUACAACCUGGAAUUAAAAUAGAGUUUGUAUCAUUUGCUUAACACAACAUGCCUACCACUUUGAAGAUGCAAAAUAUUAUUUGUGAAACAAACAAGAAAUAAGACAAAAAAAACAGAACUUGAGCAUGCAUAACUAUUCAUCCCCCAAAGUUAAUCAUUUGUAGAGCCACCUUUCGCAGCAAUUACAGCUGCACGUCUGUUGGGGUAUGUCUCUAUAAGCUUGGCACAUCUAGCCACUGGGAUUUUCGCACAUUCUUCAAGGCAAAACAGCUCCAGCUCCUUCAAGUUGGAUGGGUUCCGCUGGUGUAUGGCAAUCUUUAAGUCAUACCACAGAUUCUCAAUUGAAUUGAGGUCUGGGCUUUGACUAGGCCAUUACAAGACAUUGGAAUCAUAAAUGUUUCCCCUUAAACCACUCGAGUGUUGCUUUAGCAGUAUGCUAGGGUCAUUGUCCCGCUGGAAGGUGAACCUCUGUCACAGUCUCAAAUCUCUGGAAGAUCUCAUUCCUUCAAUUCUGACCAGUUUCCCAGUCCCUGCUGAUGAAAAACAUCCCCACAGCAUGAUGCUUCACUGUGGGGAUGGUGUUCUCGGGCUGAUGAGAGGUACUGGGUUUGUGACAGACAUAGCGGUUUCCUUGAUGGCCAAAAAGCUUCAUUUGUCUCAUCUGACCAGAGCACCUUCUUCUAUAUGUUUGGGUAGUCUCCCACAUGCCUUUUAGCGAACACCAAACGCGUUUGCUUAUUUUUUUCUUUAAGCAAUGGCUUUUUUUCUGGCCACUCUUCCGUUAAGCCCAGCUCUGGAGUGUACAGCUUAAAUUGGUCCUAUGGACAGAUACUCCAAUCUCCGCUGUGGAGCUUUGCAGCUCCUUCAGGGUUAUCUUUGGUCUCUUUGUUGCCUCUCUGAUUAAUGCCCUCCUUGCCUGGUCCGUAAGUUUUGGUGGUUGGCCCUCUUGGCAGGUUUGUUGUGAUGCCAUAUUCUUUCCAUUUAAUGGUGCUCCGUGGGAUGUUCAAAGUUUCAGAUAUUUUUUUAUAACCCAACCCUGAUCUAUACUUCUCCACAACUUUGUCCCUGACUUGUUUGGAGAGCUCCUUCAUGGUACCACUAGCUUGGUGGUGCCCCUUGCUUAGUGGCGUUGCAGACUCUGGGGCCUUUCAGAACAGGUGUGUAUAUAUACACUGAGAUCAUGUGACAGAUCUUGUGACACUUAGAUUGCACACAGGUGGACUUUAUUUAACUAAUUAUGUGACUUCUGAAGGUAAUUGGUUGCACCAGAUCUUAUUUAGGGGCUUCAUCAUAGCAAAGGGGGUGAAUACAUAGCACACGCACCAUUCUUAAAAUUAUUUAGACUUUUUUUUUUUUCAUAUCACCAAUUUGGACCAUUUUUAUGUAUGUCGAUUUACAUGAAAUCCAUUUAAGUUACAGGUUGUAACGCAACAAAAUAGGAAAAACGCCAAGGGGGAUGAAUACUUUUGCAAGGCACUGUUGCUGUGCAGCGACGCUCCCCAUCCAACCUGACAGAGCUUGAGAGGAUCUGCAGAGAGAAAUUUGAGAAACUCCUCAAAUACUUGUGUACCAAGCUUGUAGUGUCAUACCCAAGAAGACUCUAGACUUUAAUCACUGUAAAAGGGAGCACCGGACGUGAGGCUGACAGGCUGGGUAUGAGCGAGAUCACAGAGGCCCUCAACUUGGAGACUCUGCAGAUCAACAAUAAACCUGAUCAACCCUGCAAAGCCAGUAAAACACAG
Molecule: RNA transcript, 3309 nt
Organism: Oncorhynchus keta (chum salmon)
Lineage: Eukaryota; Metazoa; Chordata; Actinopteri; Salmoniformes; Salmonidae
Gene name: ranBP-type and C3HC4-type zinc finger-containing protein 1-like
Exons: 8
Source: RefSeq, a predicted model, not a curated record